Molecule: non-coding RNA, 182 nt
Filed under: Aeromonas sp. RU39B
Lineage: Bacteria; Pseudomonadati; Pseudomonadota; Gammaproteobacteria; Aeromonadales; Aeromonadaceae
Description: 6S / SsrS RNA
Rfam family: 6S / SsrS RNA
About the family: E. coli 6S RNA was the first non coding RNA to be sequenced, but its function was unknown until recently.
Source: RNAcentral
AAAUCCCUGGGGUGUUUGUCAGCCGGUUGAUGUCCCCGAGCCGAUAUUCAAAUACCCAGGAAAUCUUUACUCUGACUAUUGCGCAUGCUCGGCCCGACCGAGAAGCCUGCGGUCAGACAAGGUUUCCGCCUUGGACCUACGGUUCAAGGGCCCAAACCGGCAACGGCAUUCCCGGGGUACCU